Molecule: ribosomal RNA, 515 nt
Filed under: uncultured bacterium
Lineage: Bacteria
Description: bacterial SSU rRNA
Rfam family: Bacterial small subunit ribosomal RNA
Source: RNAcentral
ACGAAAGUCUGACGGAGCAACGCCGCGUGAGUGAAGAAGGUUUUCGGAUCGUAAAGCUCUGUCUUUGAGGACGAAUGUGCUUAAUGUGAAUAAUGUUAAGUAAUGACGGUACUCGAGGAGGAAGCCACGGCUAACUACGUGCCAGCAGCCGCGGUAAUACGUAGGUGGCAAGCGUUGUCCGGAAUUAUUGGGCGUAAAGCGCGCGCAGGCGGGAUAUUAAGUCUGUUUUAAAAGUUCGGGGCUCAACCCCGUGAUGGAAUGGAAACUAAUAUUCUUGAGUGCAGGAGAGGAAAGUGGAAUUCCCAGUGUAGCGGUGAAAUGCGUAGAUAUUGGGAGGAACACCAGUGGCGAAGGCGACUUUCUGGACUGUGUCUGACGCUGAGGCGCGAAAGCCAGGGGAGUGAACGGGAUUAGAUACCCCGGUAAUCCUGGCCGUAAACGAUGGGUACUAGGUGUAGGAGGUAUCGACCCCUUCUGUGCCGGAGUUAACGCAAUAAGUACCCCGCCUGGGGAGU